RNAcentral lists this ribosomal RNA (508 nucleotides) under uncultured bacterium. Its description in RNAcentral is "partial 16S ribosomal RNA". It matches the Rfam family "Bacterial small subunit ribosomal RNA", at positions 28 to 507 of the family's 1533-position model. The record is from RNAcentral.
GACGAACGCUGGCGGCGUGCCUAAUACAUGCCAGUCGAACGCUUCUUUCCUCCCGAGUGCUUGCACUCAAUUGGAAAGAGGAGUGGCGGACGGGUGAGUAACACGUGGGUAACCUACCCAUCAGAGGGGGAUAACACUUGGAAACAGGUGCUAAUACCGCAUAACAGUUUAUGCCGCAUGGCAUAAGAGUGAAAGGCGCUUUCGGGUGUCGCUGAUGGAUGGACCCGCGGUGCAUUAGCUAGUUGGUGAGGUAACGGCUCACCAAGGCCACGAUGCAUAGCCGACCUGAGAGGGUGAUCGGCCACACUGGGACUGAGACACGGCCCAGACUCCUACGGGAGGCAGCAGUAGGGAAUCUUCGGCAAUGGGCGAAAGUCUGACCGAGCAACACCGCGUGAGUGAAGAAGGUUUUCGGAUCGUAAAACUCUGUUGUUAGGGAAGAACAAGGACGUUAGUAACUGAACGUCCCCUGACGGUAUCUAACCAGAAAGCCACGGCUAACUACGUG